Molecule: ribosomal RNA, 1481 nt
Filed under: uncultured Actinomycetes bacterium
Lineage: Bacteria; Bacillati; Actinomycetota; Actinomycetes
Description: uncultured actinobacterium 16S ribosomal RNA
Rfam family: Bacterial small subunit ribosomal RNA
Source: RNAcentral
GUUUGAUCAUGGCUCGGGACGAACGCUGGCGGCGUGCUUAACACAUGCAAGUCGAGCGAGGCCCGCCUUUCGGGGUGGUGCCCUAGCGGCGAACGGGUGAGUAACACGUGGGCAACCUGCCCUCAGCUCUGGGAUAACUCCAAGAAAUUGGUGCUAAUACCGGAUGUGACCGCUGACCGCAUGGUCUGGUGGUGGAAAGAUUCAUCGGCUGAGGAUGGGCCCGCGGCCUAUCAGCUUGUUGGUGGGGUGAUGGCCUACCAAGGCGACGACGGGUAGCCGGCCUGAGAGGGUGACCGGCCACACUGGGACUGAGACACGGCCCAGACUCCUACGGGAGGCAGCAGUGGGGAAUAUUGCGCAAUGGGCGGAAGCCUGACGCACGACGCCGCGUGGGGGAUGACGGCCUUCGGGUUGUAAACCUCUUUCAGUAGGGACGAAGCGGAAGUGACGGUACCUACAGAAGAAGCACCGGCCAACUACGUGCCAGCAGCCGCGGUAAUACGUAGGGUGCAAAGCGUUGUCCGGAAUUAUUGGGGCGUAAAGAUCUCGUAAGCGGUCUGUCGCGUCGGCUGUGAAAACCCGAGGCUCAACCUCGGGUCUGCAGUCGAUACGGGCAAACUAGAGUGUUGCAGGGGAGACUGGAAUUCCUGGUGUAGCGGUGAAAUGCGCAGAUAUCAGGAGGAACACCGGUGGCGAAGGCGGGUCUCUGGGCAACAACUGACGCUGAGGAGCGAAAGCGUGGGGAGCGAACAGGAUUAGAUACCCUGGUAGUCCACGCCUGAAACGUUGGGCGCUAGGUGUGGGGGCCAUUCCACGGUCUCCGUGCCGCAGCUACGCUUAAGCGCCCCGCCUGGGGAGUACGGCCGCAAGGCUAAAACUCCAAGGAAUUGACGGGGGCCCGCACAAGCGGCGGAGCAUGUUGCUUAAUUCGAUGCAACGCGAAGAACCUUACCUAGGCUUGACAUGCACGGAAAUCCCGCAGAGAUGUGGGGUCCUUUUAGGGUCGUGCACAGGUGGUGCAUGGUUGUCGUCAGCUUGUGUCGUGAGAUGUUGGGUUAAGUCCCGCAACGAGCGCAACCCUCGUUCUAUGUUGCCAGCACGUGAUGGUGGGGACUCAUAGGAGACUGCCGGGGUCAACUCGGAGGAAGGUGGGGAUGACGUCAAAUCAUCAUGCCCCUUAUGUCUAGGGCUGCAAACAUGCUACAAUGGCCGGUACAAAGGGCUGCGAUACCGUGAGGUGGAGCGAAUCCCAAAAAGCCGGUCUCAGUUCGGAUUGGGGUCUGCAACUCGACCCCAUGAAGUUGGAGUCGCUAGUAAUCGCAGAUCAGCAACGCUGCGGUGAAUACGUUCCCGGGCCUUGUACACACCGCCCGUCACGUCACGAAAGUCGGUAACGCCCGAAGCCGGUGGCCCAACCCCUGGUGGGAGGGAGCCGUCGAAGGUGGGAUCGGCGAUUGGGACGAAGUCGUAACAAGGUAACC